UUUUUUAUAAAAAUAAUUUAUUUAUUUAAAGUUUUAGUAUUAAUUAAAAAUUAAUUUAUAGAUUUAUAGUUUAAUAGUAUUGUGAAAGAAAUAUUUAGAUUUUAAAAAGAAUAAAUUUAGUACCUUUUGUAUCAGGGUUGAUUAAAAUUUUUAAUUUUUUUUUAAAUUCUCAAAAUUUAUAGAGUUAAUUUUAUUAUUAAUUUAUUGUAUUAUAAAUAUUUAUAAAAUAAUAUUAGUUUUGAAAUUUAAUUCGUUAUAUUAUAUUUAGUUAUUUAAGAUUUAAAUUUAAUUUAAAAUUUUAAAAGUUAUGUUGAUUUUAUUAAUUAAUAUUUUAAAUUUAAAUUAUUUUAGGGAUAAGCUUGAAAUUUUUAUAUAAUAAUUUAUUUAAUUUAAUAAUUUAUAGGAAUAGAAAUUUUUAUUUAAGUUUGUAAAAAUUUAUUAUUUAUUUUAUUUUAAUUUAUUAUAAAUUAUUUAUUUUUUAUAUUAAAUUUUAUUAAUUAAUAAUUAAUUAAUAGUAAUAAUGAUUAAAUUAGUAUAAUUAAUAUUUAUAAAUUAUGAAUUCGGCAAAAAUUAUUUUCAUCUGUUUAACAAAAACAUUGUAUUAAGUUUAAUUUAAUAUAGGAUCUGCUCAAUGAUUUAUUAAAUAGCUGCAGUAUUUUGACUGUGCAAAGGUAGCAUAAUAAUUAGUCUUUUAAUUGAGGACUUGUAUGAAAGAUUUGAUGAGAAAUAAACUUUAUUAUUUAUAUAAUUAAAAUUUUAUUUUUAAGUAAAAAAGCUUAAAUUAUUUAAAGGGACGAUAAGACCCUAUAAAACUUUAUAAAUUUUAAAUUUAAUUUUUUUGGAUUUAUAAAUAUUUUAUUUUUAAAAUUUAUUUUAUUGGGGUGAUAAAAAAAAUUAAUAAACUUUUUUUAAAAAUUAACAUUAUUUAAUGAAUUUUUGAAUUAAAAUUUUUAAUUAAAGGAAAAAGUUACUUUAGGGAUAACAGCGUAAUUAAUUUUUUAAGUUCAAAUUUAAAAAUUAGUUUGCGACCUCGAUGUUGAAUUAAGAUUAAUCUUAGGUGCAAAAUUUUCAGUGUUAGGUCUGUUCGACCUUUUAAUUCUUACAUGAUUUGAGUUCA
This 1117-nucleotide ribosomal RNA is filed under the name Schizaphis graminum (greenbug). Its description in RNAcentral is "partial 16S large subunit ribosomal RNA". The record is from RNAcentral. Lineage: Eukaryota; Metazoa; Arthropoda; Insecta; Hemiptera; Aphididae.